UACGUAGGGUGCAAGCGUUAAUCGGAAUUACUGGGCGUAAAGCGUGCGCAGGCGGCUUUGCAAGACAGAUGUGAAAUCCCCGGGCUUAACCUGGGAACUGCAUUUGUGACUGCAUGGCUGGAGUGCGGCAGAGGGGGAUGGAAUUCCGCGUGUAGCAGUGAAAUGCGUAGAUAUGCGGAGGAACACCGAUGGCGAAGGCAGUGUUCUGGGCCAGUACUGACGCUGAGGAGCGAAAGCGUGGGGAGCAAACAGG
Molecule: ribosomal RNA, 253 nt
Filed under: uncultured bacterium
Lineage: Bacteria
Description: partial 16S ribosomal RNA
Rfam family: Bacterial small subunit ribosomal RNA
Source: RNAcentral